This 528-nucleotide small RNA is filed under the name Heyderia pusilla. RNAcentral describes it as "eukaryotic LSU rRNA". The stretch from base 179 to 332 matches the Rfam family "5.8S ribosomal RNA". The record is from RNAcentral. Lineage: Eukaryota; Fungi; Ascomycota; Leotiomycetes; Helotiales; Cenangiaceae.
GGAAGGAUCAUUACAGAGUUCAUGCCCUAACGGGUAGACCUCCCACCCCUGUGUUCUUUAUUACUAUGUUGCUUUGGCGACCCGCCGCAAGGCUCCUGGCUCUGGCUGGGGCGCGGUCGCCAGAGGACCCCUUAAAUUCUGAAUGUUUAGUGUCGUCUGAGUACUAUAUAAUAGUUAAAACUUUCAACAACGGAUCUCUUGGUUCUGGCAUCGAUGAAGAACGCAGCGAAAUGCGAUAAGUAAUGUGAAUUGCAGAAUUCAGUGAAUCAUCGAAUCUUUGAACGCACAUUGCGCCCCUUGGUAUUCCGGGGGGCAUGCCUGUUCGAGCGUCAUUUCAACCCUCAAGCUCUGCUUGGUCUUGGGCCCUGCCGGCAACGGUAGGCCUUAAAAUUAGUGGCGGCGCCCUGAGGCCCUGAACGUAGUAUUUUCUUCUCGUUACAGGCCCCUCCGGGUGACUUGCCAACUAACCCCAAUUUUUUUCUAUGGUUGACCUCGGAUCAGGUAGGGAUACCCGCUGAACUUAAGCAU